Molecule: ribosomal RNA, 1377 nt
Filed under: Solanum pennellii
Lineage: Eukaryota; Viridiplantae; Streptophyta; Magnoliopsida; Solanales; Solanaceae
Description: bacterial SSU rRNA
Rfam family: Bacterial small subunit ribosomal RNA (bases 414-1354)
Source: RNAcentral
CGUUAGAUUUAAAAUGACAGAGCACUUGCUAUUUAUUUAUGAGAAAAGGGUCAAAUAUGCCUCUAAACUAUUCGAAAAGGUCAUAUACCCUCCGUUUAAAAUUUGGUUCCUCCCCGUCCAACAAUUCGCUCAAAUAUGCCCUUAUGGGCGUUAGUUGGUAUGUUGAACGUAUCCAAUUUAUUUUUCAUUUCUUUAAAUGCCACAUGGAAUUGUCAUGUCAUUUUGACCUUACCACAUGGCAUUUAUAUGAAAAUGAAAAGGGAUAGGGACCUAUAAACACAUAAUUUGACCCAUAAAUCAACCCCCUUUUAAAUAAAAUAUCGGACCCAUUUUUGACAGUUUUGUUAAUUUUUAUUUUUUUGGUAAAUCUCGAAAAUGAGUAAUUGAUUAAUAAAAAAUAGGAAAAAUAUGAAUAUAUAUAUAUAUAUAUAUAUAUAUAAAAUCCCGGAAUGAUUGGGCGCAAAGCGUCUGUAGGUGGCUUUUUAAGUCCGGCGUCAAAUCCCAAGGCUCAACCCUGGACAGGCGGUGGAAACUACAAAGCUGGAGUAUGGUAGGGGCAGAGGGAAUAUCCGGUGGAGCGGUGAAAUGCGUAGAGAUCGAAAAGAACACCAACGGCGAAAGCACUCUACUGGGCAGACACUGACACUGAGAGACAAAAGAUAGGGGAGCAAAUAGGAUUAGAUACCCCAUAGUCCUAGCCAUAAACGAUGGAUACUAGGCGUUGUGCGUAUUCCAUGCAGUGUUGUAGCUAACGCUUUAGGUAUCCCGCCUGGGGAGUACGUUCGCAAGAAUGAAACUCAAAGGAAUUGAUGGGGGGCCUGCACAAACGGUGGAGCAUGUGGUUUAAUUCGAUACAACACGCAAAACCUUACCAGGGCUUGACAUGCUCCGAAUCCUCUUGAAAGAGAGGGGUGCCUUCGAGAACGCGGACACAGGUGGUGCAUGGGUGUCGUCAGCUCGUGUCGUAAGGUGUUGGGUUAAGUCCCGCAAUGAGCGCAACCCUCGUGUUUAGUUUCCAUUGUUGAGUUUGGAACCCUGAACAGACUGCCAGCGAUAAGCCGGAGGAAGGUGAGGAUAACGUCAAGUCAUCAUGCCCCUUAUGCCCUGGGCGACACACGUGCUACAAUGGCCGGGACAAUGGGUCGCGAUCCCGCGAGGGUGAGCUAACCCCAAAAACCCGUCCUCAGUUCGGAUUGCAGGCUGCAACUCGCUUGCGUGAAGCCGAAAUCGUUAGUAAUCGCCGGUCAGCCAUACGGCGGUGAAUUCGUUCCCGGGCCUUUGUACACACCGCCCGUCCACUAUGCAUAUAUACAUAUAUAUAUAUAUAUACAUAUGUAUAUAUAUAUAUAUAUAUAAACCUUAAAUGCAACAAUUCCA